GCUGGGAUUACUGGCAUGAGCCACCGCGCCCGGCCAACACAUUUUUUAGUAUUCAGUUUUGUUUCGUUUUGUUUUGCUUUGUUUUGAGUGAUGCUCUUCCUCUGUUUCCCAGGCUGGAGCACAAUUGGUCCAUCACAGCUCACUGUAGCCUGGAACUCCCAGACUCAAGCGGUCCUCCCACCUCUACCUCCCAACUGCUCCUAGUUGGGGGCCAGGGCCUGGGCCUGGCCUGGGGAAGGAUAUGGGAACCAAAGCCUGAGAGUUAGGUUUCCACUCCCUUCCUUUGUGCCCUCACCACCCUCUGAGCCCUCACCUCCCUGGGUUCCUGGGCAACUCUGAUCUCAGUCCUGAGGAUACUAGACAAGCCCCCAACAUUUCUAAAUUUUUUGUAGAGUUGGGGGUCUCACUAUGUUGCGCAUGCUGGUCUUGAACUCCUACCUUCAAACACUCCUCCCACCUCAGCCUCCCAAAUUGCUGGGAUUACAGGCAUAAGCCACUGUGCCUGACUCUAUUAAAAUUUAAUUAAAAAUUUGAAAAAGUGAAAAUUCAGUCUGGGUGUGGUGGCUCAUGCCUAUAAUCCCAGCACUUUGGGAAGCCAUGGUGGGUGCACCACUUGAGGUCAGGAGUUCGAGACCAGCCUGGCCAACAUGGUGAAACCCUGUUUCUACUAAAAAUACAAAAAUUAGCCAGGCAUGAUGGCGGGCACCUGUAAUCCCAGCUAUUUGGGAGGCUCAGGCAGGACAAUAGCUUGAAUUUGGGAGGUGGAGGUUGCAGUAAGCCAAGAACAUGCCGUUGCACUCCAUCCUGGGCGACAAGAGCGAGACUCUAUCUCAAAAAACAAAAAAAAAAGCGGAAACGUACAUAAAUAUCCCUGGAAGGAUUCACAGGAACAGCAUCCCACAGAUUGCCUACAAGGUGAGACUGGGAGACAGGAAUGGAAGAGAUGCCUAUUUUAACUUUACAAUUUUCUGUACUAUUUGAAUUUUUUUUUUUUUUUUUAAUAGAGACGGGGCUCUCUCUUUUUUGUCCAGGCUGGUCUCGAACUCCAGGGCUCACGCCUGGCCCUAUUUGAAUUUUGAACCAUGUAAAUAUUCAUGUUGAACCAUGUAAAUUUUUUUCUUUUCAGAAAAAUAUAAAAUCUGUCUGGGCAUGCGGGACACUGCGGGCCCCCGACGGGGUGUGUCUCCUGCCUCUUUAACCUGGCAGGGGCGGUUCAAGUGGCCGGGGAAAUCAGCGUUUUGGAGGGUCGAGGGCUGGUGCUUUGAAAGAGAGGCGGAGGGGAGAGAGGGAUUCCCUGUCCCAGCUGCACUAGGUGCAUCCCCUCGGUUACUGCUUUUCUCCGCCCGCAGGGCCCCUAACCUGUUGGAACCCGUUGUGCAGUAGAGGCGGUCGGGUCCCUUCAAGGCCCCGCCGCGCCUGCGCCUUGGGUUCUCCUGACGCCGCCGAUCCGGACCCUGAGGAGCCAGUGGGCUGCAGGCACAGGCACAGGCACAGGCACAGGCGAGGGGUUGGGUGGCGGUUGAGACUGCGGCGGUACUGGGAUGGGUAGGUGAGGAUCCCGAGACUGCGUGAGCUUGUGUGCGCGGUAAUUUGGGGAACGCCGGACGGGCACCCUGCGGCGCCAGGAGCCGGGCCGAAGCACGACGGAGAGGCGGCGCGGCUGUCGGCCACCAUCUGAAUGGGAAGUUACGGCGAAGUCCACCCAGCCUUUCUGAGGUGAGGGCGCCGCGCCAGGCUGGGCGGGCGGUGAAUCCGGGACCCGCGGGCGCACACCUGGGUCCAGGCGCGGGCGUCGCAAGUUUUGUUGCGCCAGCGGUGGUGGUCGCGAGGUGGGGCGUGCACCGCCGGGGCCUAAGUUCCCUGCGCUGAAUUCUUCGCCUGCCGCUGCCGCCUGCAGCCCAGCUCUCGUGGGCGCUGGGAGGAAACUCGCUGGGGAGUGUUCUGUGGCAUCCCAGGGGUUGGAGGGACGGAGCAGCAUCGGGGGCACGUCCUCCUAUAUCCUGUAGAGGACACUGACCCUGCAUCCCACCCUCGAGGCCGGAAAUUGAUCGGUUGCCUCUGCGGGCCUGAGAGGUGAGAGCGCUCGCGCCCCUGCCUUGCAAAGUUGGGGUCUUUACUGGCCUCCGGGCUUCUGCUCCUGGCGGUGUCUCCAGGCUGGUGAUGGGCAAGCCAGGUGUGCCAGGUCCAGGAUGCACAUGAGGAGCGUUUGUAGCCAUCACUGAAUCACCUCUUGACUAGUGGGGCAAGCCUCAAAUGAACCGCAGGAUUUCGGGUAGGUUGGAUUGUGGGGUUGCUGUUUGCACUGCGAGGAGUUGCUGUGAUUUCCCUGUGUCAGUCUGUCUGUCUUUCUGGCUUCUUAGAUCAUCAUCUCAUUUGGCAUCCUUUCACUGAAGAGUUAACCAAGACAUUUGGCCUGGUUUCCUUGCUUUCCUCCUAUCUUUUGCUGCUAGAGCUGCUUUCGAAAAGAAGUCUUUUCUGGCAGUGGUAUCUUUUCUUUGGGUUACAGUGUUGUUCAUCCUUUCUUUGCCAAAGUAAUGAAUCCCAGUGCUUCAGGAAGUUAAAGAAAAGAUCUGCUGGUAGUGUUUAAUCUGUUCUGAGCUGAUAUGCGUUAGUAGCUUUCUUUUUGUUUUUAAAUUUUAUUAGUAAAAUUUCACUAGUGAACCAGAAGCUAUUUUUUUCUAUUCUGAAAUGCUAGCUUUAAGAUUUCUGAGAACUUUGCGUCAGAGAAAUCUUGGAAAAGUUACUGAAGUAUACAGAAGAAGUUCACAAUUUUAAAUGUGCAGGUGGCCCGGGCGCAGUAGAUGACACCUGUAAUCCCAGCACUUUGGGACGCCAAGGAUCUCACUCCAUUGCCCAGGCUGGAGUGCAGUGGCACAAUCACAGCUCACCGCAACCUUGACCUCACAAGGCUCAGACAGGACCUCACUCUAUUGCCCAGGCUAGAGUGUGGUGGCAGGAUCUCAGCUCAUUCAACCUCCAUCUCCUGUCUCAAGUGAUCCUCCCAUCUCAGCCUCCUGAGUAGCUGCGACUAUAGGCGUGUGUCACCAUGCCUGGCUAAUUUUCGUAUUUUUUGUAGAGAUGGGAUUCAACAUGUUUCCCAGGCAAUCUGAAGGCAAAUCCUGUUUAGACCCAGGUGAAGGUUCCUGGUGACCCAGGCUCUCACCAGCCGAUUGUCCCUUGCCGUCCUCCUGAGGGUGUCUGGAGCUUCAGUGCUGUGUGCUCUUGGCCUCCACGCUGGGGAUGCCUCUGACUCCCACGGUCCAGGGCUUCCAGUGGACUCUCCGAGGCCCUGAUGUAGAAACUUCCCCAUUGGGUGCACCAAGAGCAGCCUCACAUGGUGUGGGCUGACAUCAAGAGCUGCCAGAUCCAACAGAAACUGAGCAAACGUGGCUAUGAAACAGACGGUCAUAGAAUUGGUUCAGUGGUUGUGAGUGCAGCAACCCAAGAGUGUCUUAUCUGAAACAACACCAGGAAUGCCUGGACACGAUAGACAAAGGUUGUUCAACUGGAUGCCUUAGGAUACAUGCUACCAAAACCCAACUAGCCAAAAAGGAACCAGAAUAACAGAAUAUCAGAGUCAGAGGAACAUUUGGAGGUAAUUCAGUACCUCCUCCUUUUCAACCUACAAGGGAGAUAGUGGAACAGAAGCAGAAAUGGGCCUGCCUGCUGUGCCCAAAAUUCAUUGGAGAUUGUUGCGGUGAAGAAUUUCAUUUAUGAUGAAGGAGAAAUAAACCCCCGUCAGCUUAAAUUCAGGCAGGUUUAUUGAAAAGGUGAAGAAGCGUCUUGCAGAAGCAAAGCAUGGCUGAGGCUUGUGGGCUCUGUCUGGGAAAAUGAGCAGCUGA
Pongo pygmaeus (Bornean orangutan) is the source of this 3842-nucleotide long non-coding RNA. RefSeq lists it as uncharacterized. NCBI's taxonomy places the organism in Eukaryota, Metazoa, Chordata, Mammalia, Primates, Hominidae. The transcript is spliced from 5 exons. The record is from RefSeq and is a predicted model, not a curated record.